This 373-nucleotide ribosomal RNA is filed under the name uncultured organism. RNAcentral describes it as "partial 16S ribosomal RNA". It matches the Rfam family "Bacterial small subunit ribosomal RNA", at positions 527 to 896 of the family's 1533-position model. The record is from RNAcentral.
GUAGGUGGCAAGCGUUGUCCGGAAUUAUUGGCCGUAAAGCGCGCGCAGGUGGGGUCUUUAAGUCUGAUGUGAAAGCCCCCCGGGCUCAACCGGGGAGGGUCAUUGGAAACUGGGGAACUUGAGUGCAGGAGAGGAAAGUGGAAUUCCACGUGUAGCGGUGAAAUGCGUAGAUGUGGAGGAACACCAGUGGCGAAGGCGACUUUCUGGCCUGUAACUGACACUGAGGCGCGAAAGCGUGGGGAGCAAACAGGAUUAGAUACCCUGGUAGUCCACGCCGUAAACGAUGAGUGCUAAGUGUUGGGGGGUUUCCGCCCCUCAGUGCUGCAGCUAACGCAUUAAGCACUCCGCCUGGGGAGUACGGUCGCAAAGACUG